GUACACGGUGGAUGCCCUGGCAGUCAGAGGCGAUGAAGGACGUGCUAAUCUGCGAUAAGCGUCGGUAAGGUGAUAUGAACCGUUAUAACCGGCGAUUUCCGAAUGGGGAAACCCAGUGUGAUUCGUCACACUAUCAUUAACUGAAUCCAUAGGUUAAUGAGGCGAACCGGGGGAACUGAAACAUCUAAGUACCCCGAGGAAAAGAAAUCAACCGAGAUUCCCCCAGUAGCGGCGAGCGAACGGGGAGCAGCCCAGAGCCUGAAUCAGUGUGUGUGUUAGUGGAAGCGUCUGGAAAGGCGCGCGAUACAGGGUGACAGCCCCGUACACAAAAAUACACAUAUUGUGAGCUCGAUGAGUAGGGCGGGACACGUGGUAUCCUGUCUGAAUAUGGGGGGCCCAUCCUCCAAGGCUAAAUACUCCUGACUGACCGAUAGUGAACCAGUACCGUGAGGGAAAGGCGAAAAGAACCCCGGCGAGGGGAGUGAAAAAGAACCUGAAACCGUGUACGUACAAGCAGUGGGAGCACGCUUAGGCGUGUGACUGCGUACCUUUUGUAUAAUGGGUCAGCGACUUAUAUUCUGUAGCAAGGUUAACCGAAUAGGGGAGCCGAAGGGAAACCGAGUCUUAACUGGGCGUUAAGUUGCAGGGUAUAGACCCGAAACCCGGUGAUCUAGCCAUGGGCAGGUUGAAGGUUGGGUAACACUAACUGGAGGACCGAACCGACUAAUGUUGAAAAAUUAGCGGAUGACUUGUGGCUGGGGGUGAAAGGCCAAUCAAACCGGGAGAUAGCUGGUUCUCCCCGAAAGCUAUUUAGGUAGCGCCUCGUGAAUUCAUCUCCGGGGGUAGAGCACUGUUUCGGCAAGGGGGUCAUCCCGACUUACCAACCCGAUGCAAACUGCGAAUACCGGAGAAUGUUAUCACGGGAGACACACGGCGGGUGCUAACGUCCGUCGUGAAGAGGGAAACAACCCAGACCGCCAGCUAAGGUCCCAAAGUCAUGGUUAAGUGGGAAACGAUGUGGGAAGGCCCAGACAGCCAGGAUGUUGGCUUAGAAGCAGCCAUCAUUUAAAGAAAGCGUAAUAGCUCACUGGUCGAGUCGGCCUGCGCGGAAGAUGUAACGGGGCUAAACCAUGCACCGAAGCUGCGGCAGCGACGCUUAUGCGUUGUUGGGUAGGGGAGCGUUCUGUAAGCCUGCGAAGGUGUGCUGUGAGGCAUGCUGGAGGUAUCAGAAGUGCGAAUGCUGACAUAAGUAACGAUAAAGCGGGUGAAAAGCCCGCUCGCCGGAAGACCAAGGGUUCCUGUCCAACGUUAAUCGGGGCAGGGUGAGUCGACCCCUAAGGCGAGGCCGAAAGGCGUAGUCGAUGGGAAACAGGUUAAUAUUCCUGUACUUGGUGUUACUGCGAAGGGGGGACGGAGAAGGCUAUGUUGGCCGGGCGACGGUUGUCCCGGUUUAAGCGUGUAGGCUGGUUUUCCAGGCAAAUCCGGAAAAUCAAGGCUGAGGCGUGAUGACGAGGCACUACGGUGCUGAAGCAACAAAUGCCCUGCUUCCAGGAAAAGCCUCUAAGCAUCAGGUAACAUCAAAUCGUACCCCAAACCGACACAGGUGGUCAGGUAGAGAAUACCAAGGCGCUUGAGAGAACUCGGGUGAAGGAACUAGGCAAAAUGGUGCCGUAACUUCGGGAGAAGGCACGCUGAUAUGUAGGUGAAGUCCCUUGCGGAUGGAGCUGAAAUCAGUCGAAGAUACCAGCUGGCUGCAACUGUUUAUUAAAAACACAGCACUGUGCAAACACGAAAGUGGACGUAUACGGUGUGACGCCUGCCCGGUGCCGGAAGGUUAAUUGAUGGGGUCAGCGCAAGCGAAGCUCUUGAUCGAAGCCCCGGUAAACGGCGGCCGUAACUAUAACGGUCCUAAGGUAGCGAAAUUCCUUGUCGGGUAAGUUCCGACCUGCACGAAUGGCGUAAUGAUGGCCAGGCUGUCUCCACCCGAGACUCAGUGAAAUUGAACUCGCUGUGAAGAUGCAGUGUACCCGCGGCAAGACGGAAAGACCCCGUGAACCUUUACUAUAGCUUGACACUGAACAUUGAGCCUUGAUGUGUAGGAUAGGUGGGAGGCUUUGAAGUGUGGACGCCAGUCUGCAUGGAGCCGGCCUUGAAAUACCACCCUUUAAUGUUUGAUGUUCUAACGUGGACCCGUGAUCCGGGUUGCGGACAGUGUCUGGUGGGUAGUUUGACUGGGGCGGUCUCCUCCUAAAGAGUAACGGAGGAGCACGAAGGUUGGCUAAUCCUGGUCGGACAUCAGGAGGUUAGUGCAAUGGCAUAAGCCAGCUUGACUGCGAGCGUGACGGCGCGAGCAGGUGCGAAAGCAGGUCAUAGUGAUCCGGUGGUUCUGAAUGGAAGGGCCAUCGCUCAACGGAUAAAAGGUACUCCGGGGAUAACAGGCUGAUACCGCCCAAGAGUUCAUAUCGACGGCGGUGUUUGGCACCUCGAUGUCGGCUCAUCACAUCCUGGGGCUGAAGUAGGUCCCAAGGGUAUGGCUGUUCGCCAUUUAAAGUGGUACGCGAGCUGGGUUUAGAACGUCGUGAGACAGUUCGGUCCCUAUCUGCCGUGGGCGCUGGAGAACUGAGGGGGGCUGCUCCUAGUACGAGAGGACCGGAGUGGACGCAUCACUGGUGUUCGGGUUGUCAUGCCAAUGGCACUGCCCGGUAGCUAAAUGCGGAAGAGAUAAGUGCUGAAAGCAUCUAAGCACGAAACUUGCCCCGAGAUGAGUUCUCCCUGACCCUUUAAGGGUCCUGAAGGAACGUUGAAGACGACGACGUUGAUAGGCCGGGUGUGUAAGCGCAGCGAUGCGUUGAGCUAACCGGUACUAAUGAACCGUGAGGCUUAACCUU
RNAcentral lists this ribosomal RNA (2888 nucleotides) under Shigella sonnei. RNAcentral's name for it is "bacterial LSU rRNA". It matches the Rfam family "Bacterial large subunit ribosomal RNA". The record is from RNAcentral. Lineage: Bacteria; Pseudomonadati; Pseudomonadota; Gammaproteobacteria; Enterobacterales; Enterobacteriaceae.